UACGUAGGGUGCGAGCGUUAAUCGGAAUUACUGGGCGUAAAGCGUGCGUAGACGGUUCGUUAAGUUCGUUGUGAAAGCCCCGGGCUCAACCUGGGAAUGGCAAUGGAAACUGGCGGGCUGGAGUAUGGCAGAGGGGGUGGAAUUCCGCGUGUAGCAGUGAAAUGCGUAGAGAUGCGGAGGAACACCGAUGGCGAAGGCAGCCCCCUGGGCCAAUACUGACGCUCAGGCACGAAAGCGUGGGGAGCAAACAGG
RNAcentral lists this ribosomal RNA (252 nucleotides) under uncultured bacterium. RNAcentral's name for it is "partial 16S ribosomal RNA". It matches the Rfam family "Bacterial small subunit ribosomal RNA", at positions 524 to 776 of the family's 1533-position model. The record is from RNAcentral.